RNAcentral lists this ribosomal RNA (301 nucleotides) under uncultured bacterium. RNAcentral describes it as "partial 16S ribosomal RNA". It matches the Rfam family "Bacterial small subunit ribosomal RNA", at positions 509 to 807 of the family's 1533-position model. The record is from RNAcentral.
CAGUCGCCGCGGGAAUACGGAGGGUGCGAGCGUUAAUCGGAAUAACUGGGCGUAAGGGGCACGCAGGCGGUGACUUAAGUGAGGUGUGAAAGCCCCGGGCUUAACCUGGGAAUUGCAUUUCAUACUGGGUCGCUAGAGUACUUUAGGGAGGGGUGGAAUUCCACGUGUAGCGGUGAAAUGCGUAGAGAUGUGGAGGAAUACCGAAGGCGAAGGCAGCCCCUUGGGAAUGUACUGACGCUCAUGUGCGAAAGCGUGGGGAGCAAACAGGAUUAGAGACCCCCGUAGUCCCUGUCUCUUAUAC